AUCCAGAUGACGAGUCCCAAAUAGGACGAAACGCGCGCUGCAGAU
Molecule: non-coding RNA, 45 nt
Filed under: Schistosoma margrebowiei
Lineage: Eukaryota; Metazoa; Platyhelminthes; Trematoda; Strigeidida; Schistosomatidae
Source: RNAcentral